UGGGGAAUAUUGGACAAUGGGCGAAAGCCUGAUCCAGCCAUGCCGCGUGUGUGAAGAAGGUCUUCGGAUUGUAAAGCACUUUAAGUUGGGAGGAAGGGCAGUAAGCGAAUACCUUGCUGUUUUGACGUUACCGACAGAAUAAGCACCGGCUAACUCUGUGCCAGCAGCCGCGGUAAUACAGAGGGUGCAAGCGUUAAUCGGAAUUACUGGGCGUAAAGCGCGCGUAGGUGGUUCGUUAAGUUGAAUGUGAAAGCCCCGGGCUCAACCUGGGAACUGCAGCCAAAACUGGCGAGCUAGAGUAGGGCAGAGGGUGGUGGAAUUUCCUGUGUAGCGGUGAAAUGCGUAGAUAUAGGAAGGAACACCAGUGGCGAAGGCGACCACCUGGGCUCAUACUGACACUGAGGUGCGAAAGCAUGGGGAGCAAACAGG
RNAcentral lists this ribosomal RNA (429 nucleotides) under Pseudomonadota bacterium. RNAcentral's name for it is "Proteobacteria bacterium partial 16S ribosomal RNA". It matches the Rfam family "Bacterial small subunit ribosomal RNA", at positions 355 to 776 of the family's 1533-position model. Lineage: Bacteria; Pseudomonadati; Pseudomonadota. The record is from RNAcentral.